AUUGAACGCUGGCGGCAGGCCUAAUACAUGCAAGUCGAACGAGUGGCGGACGGGUGAGUUAUAUAUUGGAACGUGCCCAGCAUCCGGGGAUAACUACUCGAAAGCUGGCUACUACUGCAUACUACUGUAUCGGCCGAUGUCGGAUUAGCUAGUUGGUGGGGUAAAGGCUCACCAAGGCAACGAUCCAUAGCUGGUCUGAGAGGACGACCAGCCACACGGGGACUGAGACACGGCCCAGACUCCUACGGGAGGCAGCAGUGGGGAAUUUUGGACAAUGGGGGAAACCCUGAUCCAGCCAUCCCGCGUGUAUGAUGAAGGCCUUCGGAUUGUAAAGUACUUUUGGCAGAGAAGCGGUAUCUACAGAAUAAGCACCGGCUAACUACGUGCCAGCCGCCGCGGUAAUUC
This 405-nucleotide ribosomal RNA is filed under the name uncultured bacterium. Its description in RNAcentral is "partial 16S ribosomal RNA". It matches the Rfam family "Bacterial small subunit ribosomal RNA", at positions 30 to 526 of the family's 1533-position model. The record is from RNAcentral.